GUAGGUGGCAAGCGUUGUCCGGAUUUAUUGGGCGUAAAGGGAGCGCAGGCGGUCUUUUAAGUCUGAAUGUGAAAGCCCUCAGCUUAACUGAGGAAGAGCAUCGGAAACUGAAAGACUUGAGUGCAGAAGAGGAGAGUGGAACUCCAUGUGUAGCGGUGAAAUGCGUAGAUAUAUGGAAGAACACCAGUGGCGAAGGCGGCUCUCUGGUCUGUUACUGACGCUGAGGCUCGAAAGCAUGGGUAGCGAACAGGAUUAGAUACCCUGGUAGUCCAUGCCGUAAACGAUGAGUGCUAAGUGUUGGGAGGUUUCCGCCUCUCAGUGCUGCAGCUAACGCAUUAAGCACUCCGCCUGGGGAGUACGACCGCAAGGUUG
RNAcentral lists this ribosomal RNA (372 nucleotides) under uncultured bacterium. RNAcentral describes it as "bacterial SSU rRNA". It matches the Rfam family "Bacterial small subunit ribosomal RNA", at positions 527 to 896 of the family's 1533-position model. The record is from RNAcentral.